RNAcentral lists this ribosomal RNA (404 nucleotides) under Fusobacteriota bacterium. RNAcentral describes it as "Fusobacteria bacterium partial 16S ribosomal RNA". It matches the Rfam family "Bacterial small subunit ribosomal RNA", at positions 355 to 776 of the family's 1533-position model. Lineage: Bacteria; Fusobacteriati; Fusobacteriota. The record is from RNAcentral.
UGGGGAAUAUUGCACAAUGGAGGGAACUCUGAUGCAGCGACGCCGCGUGAGUGAUGAAGGAAUUCGUUUCGUAAAACUCUGUUCUAUGGGAAGAAAAGGACUGUACCAUAGGAGAAAGCUCCGGCGAAAUACGUGCCAGCAGCCGCGGUAAUACGUAUGGAGCGAGCGUUGUCCGGAAUUAUUGGGCGUAAAGGGUGCGCAGGCGGCUUUACAAGUUGGAUGUGAAAUAUUGUGGCUCAACCACAAACGUGCAUCCAAAACUGCAAAGCUUGAGUUAAGGAGGGGUAAGUGGAAUUCCUGGUGUGGCGAUGGAAUGCGUAGAUAUCAGGAGGAAUACCGGUGGCGAAGGCGACUUACUGGGCUUAAACUGACGCUCAAGCACGAAAGCGUGGGGAGCAAACAGG